AACGAACGCUGGCGGCAGGCCUAACACAUGCAAGUCGAGCGCCCUUUCGGGGGAGCGGCGGACGGGUGAGUAGCGCGUGGGAAUAUGCCCUUCUCUACGGAAUAGCCUCGGGAAACUGAGAGUAAUACCGUAUACGCCCUGUGGGGGAAAGAUUUAUCGGGGAAGGAUUAGCCCGCGUUGGAUUAGGUAGUUGGUAGGGUAAUGGCCUACCAAGCCGACGAUCCAUAGCUGGUUUGAGAGGAUGAUCAGCCACACUGGGACUGAGACACGGCCCAGACUCCUACGGGAGGCAGCAGUGGGGAAUCUUAGACAAUGGGGGCAACCCUGAUCUAGCCAUGCCGCGUGAGUGAUGAAGGCCUUAGGGUUGUAAAGCUCUUUCAGCUGGGAAGAUAAUGACGGUACCAGCAGAAGAAGCCCCGGCUAACUCCGUG
RNAcentral lists this ribosomal RNA (431 nucleotides) under uncultured bacterium. Its description in RNAcentral is "partial 16S ribosomal RNA". It matches the Rfam family "Bacterial small subunit ribosomal RNA", at positions 29 to 507 of the family's 1533-position model. The record is from RNAcentral.